Leopardus geoffroyi (Geoffroy's cat) is the source of this 2471-nucleotide long non-coding RNA. RefSeq lists it as uncharacterized. The transcript has 3 exons. Lineage: Eukaryota; Metazoa; Chordata; Mammalia; Carnivora; Felidae. The record is from RefSeq and is a predicted model, not a curated record.
UUCAUGGGAGACUCUCAAAGCCCCCUGUGGUGGCAAGGCUGAAUUUUCCGGAGGGGGUCGCCCGAGUCCCCCCUCCCCCCCCCCCCCCCCCCCCAGGGUGCAGGGGCCAAGCGGCCAGAACAGAAGGCCCUGUCCUGAGGAGGGCUGGACGGCUGGGUUGCAGACAGGCCCGUGUGUCUCAGCCCCGUCCUUGGCCAAGGCCGGAAGAUCCUGAUUAACAUGAAAACGAAAGACAAUUGGGCGUCCUCGGCGGGCGGCCGGCUUCUGUGCGGCUGAGGGGGGAAGGUAAUCAUUCUAUCACUGUCUUUCGUGGCCAAUUAGAUGAUUCAGCAUAUUCCCGGCCUCUCUCUCCGCUGAGGUGAUUUAUAGUGAGCCAGCGCCAGAUGGGGUUGUGUGCGAGACAUGAAAACAUUGGCGGGGCCUCUCACAGCCACCCCGGCUGCUGACAGCUUCUAUUGGAGAAAUUCUCCUCUCAGGCGAAAAUAGCUACUUGCGGGGAUCUCCUCACGGGUGGAAUGAGAAGGGGGGGGGCAGGAGGGUAGAGGUUAGCCCACUCGGCUGUUGUGGGAGAAGAGCUUCGGGAAAACAGCCGAGAAGGCGGUGGCUCGGAAGGAGGCAAGAGGGGCAGGGCUGCUUUGCCUCUGAUGCCUGAGCUCCCGUGUCUGGGGCCUGCAGCGGCAAGUGGGCCUGAUGCCUGGGGCGCAGGGGUGAGCGGCCAUGACGGGAACGUGUGCGUGCACUUGGGAUGGGCCCGAGACGGGCCUCGGCAUCCGCAUUCUCGUAGGUGUUUUGACGGGCUGCUCUGGGUAAUUGCUUUGAUGGGUGGCUCUGUCCAUCCUGGGCAGUGGGUAGCUCGCAUAGCUACUGAGCUGGGAGGGUGAAGGAAGCUGUGCUGUGUCCUCAGGGGUAAGGAAGCCCCAACAUAAUCUUCCUGAAGGAGUCAACGGUGGGCCCCGACGGCUCUGUGUUGUUCGGACGCUAGGAGUUGUUUCCAUCCAUCUGUCUUUCCAAGAAAGAGAGCCUCCAGCUUCUGUAAUGAACUCUGGAUGUCACCCAUAGAACACUGACCAUUCCCGGCCACUCCCUAAGUCACUUAUUGGAAGGCUGAGAGGCCUGGCCUGACAUCGAGUACCACCCUCAUCACCGCCGUCAUCAGUGCUGAUCCACGUCAUUUUCCCUCACGCUUGUGAAAUACCUAUCAUAUGCCAACAAUUAUUCCAGAUGCCUUACAUGCCUCAUUUAUUUCCCAAGACGAUCCUUUGGCUAUUAGCAUUCUGUGAUGGUUAAUUGAAUGUGGCAACCUGACUGGGCCGUGGGGUGCCCAGACAUUAUUCUGUGUGUGUCUGGGAGGAUGUUUCUGGAUGAGACUAACAAUUGAAUUGGUAGACUGAGUAAGCAAAUUGCCCGCCCCAGUGUGGGUGGGCCUCAUCCAAUCAGUUGAAGAUAUGAAUAAAACCAAAAGUCUGAGUUCGAAGAAACUUUGGCCUGCCUGCUUGUUGAACUGGGCCAUUGGUUUCCUGCCCUCAGAGUGAAACUUACAGCAUCAGCUCUCCUCGCUCUCGGGCCUUCAGACUUAGACUAGGACUGCACCACGGGCUCUCCUGGCUCCCCAGCUUGCUGACUGCAGAUCUUGGAACUUCUCAGCCUCCAUAAUCAUGCCCCAUCGUGGAAGGAUUACUGAGAAUUCUCCAGGGCUGCCUUGCCGCGUGCUGGGCUCUCAAACCUCAGUGACCUGAGACCGCUGGUGAUGUCGUGGAAGCUGGAAGGUCACGUUUCCACCAGCUUUCGGAAUGUGAGGCAAGCAGCCUUCCUUCUUCUCAGCCUGGCAUCACGUGACCACUCAAAGUGGGGAGGAGGGCGGAGGCUGCCUGUGCGGGGCCGUGUGUGCACGUAGAGAGACACCUAUGUACGCAUAUGUGUGCGUAGGGCAGAAACCCACAUAUGGAUGUGUGUAUAUAUACACGUGGAUGCCCACGUGUGUACACGUGCGCACUCCUGGAUGCCCACAGAUAGUGCACAUGCGUGUACGUGAGGACACCCGUGUAUACACCAAAACACGAUUCUCUAACAGAUGCACAAAUGGGUCUCUUAAGGCUUUCUUCUUCCCCUUCCCCCAAAGUGUAAAAUUGCCAGUGACUAUCAAGUCGUGUCUACCGGGUUUGAAGGAAGUAGGAUGUGUCUGGGUAACAGGAAAGAAUCCAUGCCAGAUGGUGCUCUUUUCAUCUCGAAGGCCAACAUGUUGAGAUGGGCUUUCACCCAGAGGGGAGAGAAAAUUCUUAAGUCAAUCAAACAAACUAAGCAAGGUGGGGAAGAGACAUACCAUGUUCAUGGAUCAGAAGACUCCACAUGGCGAGGAUGCCAGUCUCCUCCCAAAUCGAUCGAUAUGGUUAACACAAUUCUAAUGGACACCGCAGCAGGAUUUCUUGUAGGUAUAGACAAGCCGAUUCUAAACUGUAUGUGGAAAAGCAAAG